This 45-nucleotide non-coding RNA is filed under the name Schistosoma haematobium. The record is from RNAcentral. Lineage: Eukaryota; Metazoa; Platyhelminthes; Trematoda; Strigeidida; Schistosomatidae.
AUCCAGAUGGAGAGACCCGAAUAGGACGAAACGCGCGUCCUGGAU